ACGCUCGACACCUACGGGAGACAGCAGUAGGGAAUCUUCCACAAUGGACGCAAGUCUGAUGGAGCAACGCCGCGUGAGUGAAGAAGGUUUUCGGAUCGUAAAGCUCUGUUGUUGGUGAAGAAGGAUAGAGGUAGUAACUGGCCUUUAUUUGACGGUAAUCAACCAGAAAGUCACGGCUAACUACGUGCCACAGCCGCGGUAAUCUGAGCGGGCUGGCAAGGC
Molecule: ribosomal RNA, 222 nt
Filed under: uncultured bacterium
Lineage: Bacteria
Description: partial 16S ribosomal RNA
Rfam family: Bacterial small subunit ribosomal RNA
Source: RNAcentral